This 547-nucleotide ribosomal RNA is filed under the name uncultured eukaryote. RNAcentral's name for it is "SSU rRNA". It matches the Rfam family "Eukaryotic small subunit ribosomal RNA", at positions 21 to 570 of the family's 1831-position model. The record is from RNAcentral.
UGUAGUCAUAUGCUUGUCUCAAAGAUUAAGCCAUGCAUGUCUAAGUAUAAGCAAUUAUACAGCGAAACUGCGAAUGGCUCAUUAUAUAAGUUAUCGUUUAUUUGAUAGUACCUUACUACUUGGAUAACCGUGGUAAUUCUAGAGCUAAUACAUGCUAAAAAUCCCGACUUCGGAAGGGAUGUAUUUAUUAGAUUAAAAACCAAUGCCCUUCGGGGCUCACUGGUGAUUCAUGAUAACUCCUCGAAUCGCAUGGCCUUGUGCCGGCGAUGGUUCAUUCAAAUUUCUUCCCUAUCAACUUUCGAUGUUUGGGUAUUGGCCAAACAUGGUUGCAACGGGUAACGGAGGGUUAGGGCUCGACCCCGGAGAAGGAGCCUGAGAAACGGCUACUACAUCCAAGGAAGGCAGCAGGCGCGCAAAUUACCCAAUCCCGACACGGGGAGGUAGUGACAAUAAAUACUGAUACAGGGCUCUUUUGGGUCUUGUAAUUGGAAUGAGUACAAUUUAAAUCCCUUAACGAGGAGCAAUUGGAGGGCAAGUCUGGUAAUCG